Molecule: RNA transcript, 844 nt
Organism: Melopsittacus undulatus (budgerigar)
Lineage: Eukaryota; Metazoa; Chordata; Aves; Psittaciformes; Psittaculidae
Gene name: splicing factor 3B subunit 4-like
Exons: 4
Source: RefSeq, a predicted model, not a curated record
GCUCGUCAAGCAGCUGAACUUUUGCCACAGAAAGCCCGCGGAUGCUCCUCGCUGGCCGGUUACCCCUGCAGAGCCCGUGUCAGCCGCAGGGCAGGGGCGAGCCCCACAGCCCCCCCGGGAGCUCAAUGCCUACGGACGGGGCAGCGCGGAUGGAUGGAGCCCACACCGGCGGUCCCGGGACCGCCCCGGUGCACACGGCUCCAGCCGGGACCAGCACAGGGAAGGGGGUGAGGCCGGGUCCGGCGCCGGCUGAAGGGCCCCGCCACCCGUGCUGCUGGCCGCGGCCCCCGCCAUUCAUUGCCCCCAGCAUCCCGCUCCACUCCCACCGCCCAGGGAACUGUGGACGAGGCAGGCGGGUAAUAGUCUGGAAGAAAGAGGAUCUGGAGCCUCUGGGAUGCAUCCUGGAUACUCUCGUAAGGGAAAACUUUCACCAGAGAAGAGCGACUGGCCUUCAGCAAUCUUGAAGAGCAUAAUUUGUCUUUGGCUUUUGAAAUAGUUAUUAUACUGGAACUAUUGCACCAGCUAAGGCCAUAACUGAGGUUUUGAUGAGGCUGUACUGUCUGGAUGAGGUUUUAUAUCCAGGGCCUGAGGACAGGCAGGACUUCCAAGAAGGAGGUUGCUGACAAGCCUGACUGGUCCUUUAGAAGUAGAAUUUGAGGCAUUUAAAAAAAGAAAAAUGAGUCUGCAUCCUGAUAAUUCUCAGAGUGAAGGCCUGGCUCUCUGCUCUUAACCAAAUGAAGUUUUCUGGAUGUGGGCUUGAAUCCCUUUGACUGAAUCGUGGGAGUCAGACAUUGCCACUGCAAAUGUAGCCAUUGUUGUCUCAAUAAACAUAUUUUGCCUUGUC